UGCCAGCCGCCGCGGUAAUACGAAGGGUGCUAGCGUUGUUCGGAAUUACUGGGCGUAAAGAGCAUGUAGGCGGAUGAAUUAGUCUGAUGUGAAAGCCCGGGGCUCAACCCCGGAAGUGCAUUGGAAACUGGCGAACUUGAGUACGGGAGAGGAAAGUGGAGUUCCGAGUGUAGGGGUGAAAUCCGUAGAUAUUCGGAGGAACACCAGUGGCGAAGGCGGCUUUCUGGACCGAUACUGACGCUGAGACGCGAAAGCGUGGUGAGCAAACCGGAUUAGAUA
RNAcentral lists this ribosomal RNA (279 nucleotides) under uncultured bacterium. RNAcentral's name for it is "partial 16S ribosomal RNA". It matches the Rfam family "Bacterial small subunit ribosomal RNA", at positions 506 to 784 of the family's 1533-position model. The record is from RNAcentral.